AACGAACGCUGGCGGCAUGCCUAACACAUGCAAGUCGAACGAGACCUUCGGGUCUAGUGGCGCACGGGUGCGUAACGCGUGGGAACCUGCCCUUAGGUUCGCAAUAACUUCCCGAAAGGGGUGCUAAUACCGGAUAAUGUCUUCGGACCAACGAUCUAUCGCCUUUGGAUGGGCCCGCGUUGGAUUAGCUAGUUGGUAGGGUAAAAGCAUACCAAGGCGACGAUCCAUAGCUGGUCUGAGAGGAUGAUCAGCGACACCGGGACUGAGACACGGCCCGGACUCCUGCGGGAGGAAACAGUGGGGAAUAUUGAAAAGUGGGCGGAGGCCUGAUCCAGCAAUGCCGCGUGAGUACUGAAGGCCUUAGGGUUGUAAAGCUCUUUUACCCGGGAUGGUAAUGACAGUACCGGGAGAAUAAGCUCCGGCUAACUCCGUG
Molecule: ribosomal RNA, 433 nt
Filed under: uncultured bacterium
Lineage: Bacteria
Description: partial 16S ribosomal RNA
Rfam family: Bacterial small subunit ribosomal RNA
Source: RNAcentral